AGAAUCCAGUAGAACUAAGAGAGAACUUUUCCAAACAAACUUUGCAACUGGAUCCAGGUGGAACAGUGCCCUGCAGCAAGGAGUAGUGUAUAGGUCAAUGAGAGGCCCUGCCUCCAGGAACCGUGACAGUGGCUUCCUGAGCCAUCUAACUCAUUUGAGAAAACACAUGGCGGCCAUGAUUCUCUCUACAAUCAGCCCCAUGCAGAGGGAUGCAUUUACAAGUCAAGGUUGAAACACGUCAUAGGGUACUCUCUUCCAUGGUCCAGCCAUCUUUGGCAACUCUACCCACAAUACUUCUCACUCCUUUGGAAAUGGAAUGGCCAGGAGAGAACCAAGGAUCCAUGUGACAGAAAGACAGACAGGCAAACACAGCCACCAGAAGCCAACUGCUCCAGGCACAGUCUCUAGCUGUUAGUCUCUUAGUGUCACUAGAGAACUGGAAAGCAACACGACUGGUAGAGCAGCAGAGAGCCCCAAGGAGAGUGCUCAGUGAUGGUUAACAGAUGAAACGGAAUUUCAUGGAGAUGCAUUGUUACAAGGAAGAACUGUUCAGUCUCAACUUCCUGGUUUAAGAGACCUAUGUUUUCUUUUUCAGUUCCUCGAAUCUCCGAGAAAGAUCAUCGAAGUCUAUGUCUUCUGAUGCUGAGCACUGGAGAUCAAAUCCAGGGACUUGAACAUGCUAAGCAAAUGCCCACCACUGAACUUACAGCCCCAGCUUCCCAGUGCUGGUAUUACAGACGAACCACCACACCCAACUUCUCCCAUUUUAAAUGUGCUUUCUGCGGUGCUAGCAGCACUUCAUUUUUUAACUUAUUGAACAACUUUAAUCAUGCUUACUUUAUGAAAACUCA
This is a long non-coding RNA of Peromyscus eremicus (cactus mouse), 851 nucleotides long. RefSeq lists it as uncharacterized. The transcript is spliced from 2 exons. The record is from RefSeq and is a predicted model, not a curated record. Lineage: Eukaryota; Metazoa; Chordata; Mammalia; Rodentia; Cricetidae.